CCAGUGUGUGUGGAGUCAUUGUUGAAAUACCACUCUGGUCGUAUUGGGCUCCUAACUUCGGUCCGUGAUCCGGAUCAGGGACAGUGCCUGAUGGGUAGUUUAACUGGGGCGGUUGCCUCCUAAAGGGUAACGGAGGCGCCCAAAGGUUCCCUCAGCCUGGUUGGCAAUCAGGUUUUGAGUGUAAGUGCACAAGGGAGCUUGACUGUGAGACAGACAUGUCGAGCAGGCACGAAAGUGGGGACUAGUGACCCGACGGUGGCUUGUGGAAGCGCCGUCGCUCAACGGAUAAAAGGUACCCCGGGGAUAACAGGCUGAUCUUGCCCAAGAGCUCAUAUCGACGGCAUGGUUUGGCACCUCGAUGUCGGCUCGUCGCAUCCUGGGGCUGGAGUAGGUCCCAAGGG
Molecule: ribosomal RNA, 401 nt
Filed under: Corallococcus exiguus
Lineage: Bacteria; Pseudomonadati; Myxococcota; Myxococcia; Myxococcales; Myxococcaceae
Description: partial 23S ribosomal RNA
Rfam family: Bacterial large subunit ribosomal RNA
Source: RNAcentral